CAGUAGCCACGGUAAUACGGAGGGUGCAAGCGUUAUCCGGAUUCACUGGGUUUAAAGGGUGCGUAGGCGGGCAGGUAAGUCAGUGGUGAAAUCUUCGAGCUUAACUCGGAAACUGCCGUUGAUACUAUCUGUCUUGAAUAACGUUGAGGUGAGCGGAAUAUGUCAUGUAGCGGUGAAAUGCUUAGAUAUAACAUAGAACACCGAUUGCGAAGGCAGCUCACUAAACGCUCAUUGACGCUGAGGCACGAAAGCGUGGGGAUCAAACAGGAUUAGAUACCCGUGUAGUCCCUGUCUCUUAUAC
RNAcentral lists this ribosomal RNA (301 nucleotides) under uncultured bacterium. RNAcentral describes it as "partial 16S ribosomal RNA". It matches the Rfam family "Bacterial small subunit ribosomal RNA", at positions 509 to 807 of the family's 1533-position model. The record is from RNAcentral.